RNAcentral lists this long non-coding RNA (2548 nucleotides) under Olea europaea subsp. europaea. Lineage: Eukaryota; Viridiplantae; Streptophyta; Magnoliopsida; Lamiales; Oleaceae. The record is from RNAcentral.
AUGUAUUUAUUUCUUCAUCGAUUUUGCUUUGCAUGUUUUCUUAAUACAAAUACAGAUGCCACCUAAAGAAAGUCAAAGCACGUGUUACCCAUAGCAUCUGCGACUCCUCGAAGCUCUAGCAAUGGAGCCUAUCUCCUUGUCAACAAGGAGAGCACUCUAAUCAAUUACACAUUCCUAUUUCGACACCUUCUAUAGCUCAAUCAGGUAUAAAUAGGACUACUCAAUCUAGUAUAGAUCCUACUGAUUUUGUGGAUACCGCUGAGCAAGGGUCGUCCAAUGGUAUGUAUUUAAUGAUUUUUAAGAUAAUGUGGACUGACUCUUCAUAUUAAACAAUAUUAAUUAUCUUUAAAUAUCUUUUAGGUUCUCUUCAUAAAAAAAGCGAGGAAUUAGUCGUGGUUUGGCAUCUCAGAAAAUAAUGGAUGCUAGUAAGAAAAAAUUAGUUGUACAAGCCAGGGAAGGAGAUAUGCAUAUUUCGGUGAGACAUUCUCGCCAUUUGCUAAUGAGAUUGGUAUCAUUAUGCGAAACAUUAUUUCGUAACACUUGACUGGUUGGAGUCAAGCAACUCCUCAUGAUAGAAAAUUAGCCUAUAAUCGUCUUCUUGUAAGUAAAUUUUGUAAUUCAUUUGGAUUAUGCGUAAUACUAUAAUCACUGAAGUCUUAUUUUCUCUACGUUCAGGGAAAAUUUGAUGUUGAUUUAAAUGAUCAACAGAUAGUUGAAAUUGUUGAAAGACAUUGUCUUGAGAGAUACAAAGAACACAGAAGUGCAUGUAAUAAAAAAUAUAAACAAUUAAAAUUGGAUGAAAAAGAUCCACUACAAUGUAGGCCAUCAACUGUUAAAUCACAAGAGGAUUGGGAAUGGAUGUGUGCACAUUUUAAAAGUGAUAAGCUUUUGGUAUGUUAAGUUAUUAUACUACUUAAAGUUGAAUGAAUGAGAUGCCAAAUUACACUUUGAGAUAUUGUGGUUGGUUUUAAGAAACGAUCUGCAGCUGGGAAACUCAAUCGUUCGAAGCUUCUUUAUAGUCGCCAUGGAGGGACUAGAUCAUUUACCGCAACUAGGGAAGCACUGGUAAUCUAAUAGACUUAAUCUCUUGCACUUUUAUUCAGUAGUUUUUAUUAAACAUGUUGACUUCUAGAAUAAGUAUUGCUAUUAAAGUUGGUUGGUUAAAUAGCAUUCAAUUUUCUUAAGCUGAAAUGUGUUUUAUUAAUUGUUGUUAAUAUAUAUCACUAGUCUGCUCAUCAUUGCUCACUAUGUUAGAAUUAUAACCCUUUGGACUUAAAUGAUGAAUUAGGUAUUUUUCCCCUAAUUUAGGCUUGAGUAUGAGGCUUAAUAUUUUAAAUUUGCUUCCUUUAGUUGAAAUAGGAAUAAUUAAAUGUCCAUUGGUUGAUCCGACGUAAUUAUCUCGUGUUUAGUUUUACUAGACUAUUUCAACUUCUAAGUACGCUUCAUAAAAUACAUAUUUAGAAAGUAGACCUGAUUUCUGAAAAUGAUGAAAUUAGUUUUUUUUUUUUUUUUAAAAGGUUGUCAUUUGAAUGUUGGCUGACUUCUAGAAGGAGUAUUAACAUGUUUUAUAUCCCUUGACUGUCAUUAAAUGUUGUUGAAAUGUUACUGGAUAUGCUUUUCAGUCCCUGAUGCCAUAGUUAUAUGGAAUAGUUUUAGUUGAAUUUAAACUUCGACAAGCUUUAUACUCUUCACUACUUUGGCGAUUUGCUAAUUUGACUAUAUUAUGACAUGUUGAGGUUAUCAAUUAUUUGCUAAUUUGACUAUAUUAGGACAUUUUCUCCAACUUUUUCAAUCUACAAAUGAAGAAUUAAUUGGACAUAUUGAGUUGUUUAGGAGGAUGCAUUCCACAUCAAAAUGAUGGGAUAACCAACUAGCCUAGUCUCGAUAUGUAAGAUAUAUCAUUUAUUACACAAAGAUCUUAACAUUAAUAUUAUUUAUUUUAACAUUUUUCUAUUGUAUGCAAAAAGAAAUGGUGGAGUUACAACAAUCACAAGCAGAGAUUGAAGAUUAAGCAUCUAUAAUGGAUGAAGCAGAAAUAUGUGCUCGAGUUCUUGGUAAGAGUGAUGGGACUAUUUCUGGAAUUGGACCCGCUCUACGCAAAUCAUACAGCAACACAGUUACGGCUCCCCCUAAAUUGAUGCAAUAGUUGGAAAUUCUUACAAAACAAGACAAAGAGAAGGAUAAAGCUAUUAGUGAGCUUACACAAAGUCUCAAACAAUAAGUGUUACUUAUCCAGAGCCUUGUUAUACGAAUGGAUAUGAGUCAGCAUCCUCCAACUAAACCAACCAAUGAUCCAUCUCCAUCAUCUCCACCAGCACCAUCAGCGUGCAGUACUAUGAUUACAUUAUUGAAGUUACAAUUUAUCUUUUUGUGGUUAGAUAUUAGACAUUUAUGAUUAUGCAUUGACUAUUAGUAGUUAUCUACGAAAAACAAUUUUCUUUUGUAGCAACAUAUUUUUUGUUAAAUUUAAUAUUCUAUAGCUUUCGAUAUUGUUAAAUUAGUAAUUGUGAUGGUUGAAAACUGAAAUAUUGGACAAAUUAUUAUCAGG